CUUGCUUUAAUGGUGGAAGCUAAGAUUAAUCAAUCAAAUGAGUAUUAGAGACCUAGAUUCAACCUAUAAUAUACCCUGAAAUUUUUAUUACUUGUAUAAAAAUUUCUCAUAUAAUAUUUGUUUAAUUAAGCGAGAUUACCCUUAACAUCAUGAGGUUUCUUUCAAUUGUAGAGUAUGCAUAUAUUAACUCAUUUAUCGAACUCAACAUUCUCCAAGUUAAACUCUGGCGAUAUAUAUAUUAAUUCUGUAUAUCAUCUGAGUAGCCACAUUUUAUUUAAAUGCAUUCAUCGUUAAGGAGGAAAAGGAAGAACUCGUAAGACCAAGCUCGAGCAAUUUGAAAGAAAGUGACCUUGUGUGGACGAGAUGUUAUGUACAUUCUCAAAAAUAGAACUUGGUUCUUGGAGUAAUGACUCUAUAUUCAUACAUCCAAAAUGAAAAUUCUCGAGGACUUGAUAUCAAUCAUGACUCACUAAAUUUAGUAGCAUUGCCCAUUGCUUGGGCAUGUCAUGAAAAUCUCAGUGUACCCAACUUAAGCCGAAAUCAGAAAAUCACUCUAAAAGUCUACACCUUUGCAAACCCACAAAGUAGCCAUUGGAAGUUCUCUUUUUCUUUUAAAAGAUUUGGAAGUUUGCUAUCACUAGCGGCACAUAAAAUGUACCAACUCUUUAUUCAAAGUAAGAGGGGUACAAUUAAAAGGUAAUAAGUAAAAUGAAUUAUUUUUCAGAAAGGGGGUCACUAUCCAUGAUUAUAGACUUGUGCUUUUCUUAAUUCACACCAACCCCACCCAACAUUAAACCCCAACUCCACCAAUUAUUGAACCUUCGUCGUCCCCAAAUUGCCCCCAGAAAUCUCUUUCGCCAAGACCUCCUCCCAUUUGUGACUUCCAAACGCAAUCAUUAACAUUCGAAAUUACAAAAAAAAAAUAAAAAAAAACAAGCAAAACAAACAAAAUAAAGUAAGAAAAUAUGGUAAAAAUCAAACAAAAUAAAUAAAUAAAGAGUAGCUUAAUUUCCUCUGCAAUUUUUAAUACAAUCUCGAAGAAACAAGUUAGCAUAUCACAAGCGUGAAAGUGAUAUUCUUUGACACACAAUAGUCACCAAAAUUUAAAAAUAAAAAAACCCCCCAAAGAAGAAAAGAACUAAAAUUUAUAUAUAUGUAAAAGAAAAAAGAAUUUACCACUCAACUCUAAAAAGAACCAAAAAAAAAAAAAAAAAGGAAGAAGACCUGUAGUAGUAAUGAUAAAUUCCUCUUCAAUCUUUAGUGAUUUGCUGUUAUUUUCUUGAUGUUUAUGCCCCUGCUAAGAAGGAAAUGACAACAAGAACCCUAAACUUGAUAGUAUUUAAUCUUGAAACCCAGUUUUUUCCCAAAUUGCAUUUCUAACCCUACUCAGAUCUCUCCUU
RNAcentral lists this long non-coding RNA (1400 nucleotides) under Ricinus communis (castor bean). Its description in RNAcentral is "long non-coding RNA (RCOM_LNC003230)". The record is from RNAcentral. Lineage: Eukaryota; Viridiplantae; Streptophyta; Magnoliopsida; Malpighiales; Euphorbiaceae.